GAAAAUUCAAACUUACCUGAGCAAAAAACGAAAUUUAUUUCAUGUCUCUGACUUCAGACACAGUUGACCCCAGAACCCUGUCUCUUGUCUAUCUGCUCUGCCCUCCUCUGGGUAGGCAUUAAACUUAGGGAAGUACUUCCUUCUGGGGCAAGAUGGCUGUUAGUAGCCCCAGGUUCAUACUCCCAUCACUCCAGUUUCAGUGCAAGGUGAGUACCUGUCCUCUGAGCAACAGUUCCACAAAGUCCUUGGCCUGACUGCCAUUGGCCCAAGUGGAGCUCUGGGACCUUUGCUGAUUCAGUCUCUGGGCUGGUGGAUGGAAUGCACUGAUUGACUUUGGCCUGUGGCUCACGCCCCUCCCUAUAGCUGGGAGAAGUGUCAGCUUCACCAAACCACAGGAAUGAAGGCAGGGAGGAGGCGGUUGUCCAAAGGAAGAUCUAGAAAAAGAGUGCCGUACAAGCAAGAGCAACAAACGUCCAUUACAGUAGUUCUGGAGGCCAAAAGUCCCAGAUCAAGGUCAUAUGGAGCUGGUUCCAGGUGGUUUCCUGAGAAGCUAAGGGAAGAGAAGACUUAGACAUUACUAGAACCCAUUCCUCAAGACACUGUAUUCAGACAGAGGACUGGGGAAGUGUUAGAGGAAGAUUACGACACUGCUACUCCAUGCCAAAACGUUACACUACGGCUCUGCAGACUGAAGAUUGCCUCACAAGCAGAAAUAUACUCUUUCCAACAAACACUGGUGGAAUGAAAAGGACAUUGGAUUCCUGCUUCCAGUUACUGCUUGCCCUUCCCUGACUUUGUGACCUGAGGUGAUUGCAUCCUUUGAAAGCCUGUUUGCAUAGCAGACAAUGAAGCUGAGCAGAGAAAAACAAGAUGAGAGACAGAUGGAGUAGGAGACCUGAGAAGAUGGCUUGAGUCCAUGAAUUCUGGUGUUCCCUAGGCCACAUUUGCCCCCAUCCUUCCCAGAUUUUACUUUCUACUCUUGUCAGUCAUAUCUGCAAGGCUGACAGUUACCAGGGGCUGUGGCCAGGCAUGAGGGAGAAUGUGUCAUUGCUGGCUGCGUUGGUCAUAGCAACGUGUCUGCCUCAGAACAGAUCCAGCAUGGAUGAGCAAACAGAAAAAUGUGUAAGAAGGCUUGUGACUGAAACAGACCAAGGGUUAGACUUCUCCUAUGGAGAAUGCAGCAAGAAAAUACCAUCUUGAAGCAGAGAGCAGCGCUCAUCAGGCAUCAGUCCUUCUGGAGCCUUGAUCUUGGACCUCCCAGCUCCAAAAUAAUAAGUAAUAAAUUGUUAUUGCUUAUAAAUU
This 1302-nucleotide long non-coding RNA is filed under the name Homo sapiens (human). Its description in RNAcentral is "HSALNT0030068". Lineage: Eukaryota; Metazoa; Chordata; Mammalia; Primates; Hominidae. The record is from RNAcentral.